Long non-coding RNA from Vigna angularis (adzuki bean), 1059 nucleotides. RefSeq lists it as uncharacterized. NCBI's taxonomy places the organism in Eukaryota, Viridiplantae, Streptophyta, Magnoliopsida, Fabales, Fabaceae. The transcript has 2 exons. The record is from RefSeq and is a predicted model, not a curated record.
UUAAAUUCUAAACCUAAUCAUUUAUAAUAUGUAACCCUUUUCUGGAAAUGAAAGGAAAUAAAAUUCUAAGUUGGGUAAUCCAAAAUGAAGAUUUGAUAUUUUGGAUUAGCUUUUCCAAAAAGGUAGAGUGAUAUUAGGAUAGAGUGCCCAUUUUGUCAAAGUUUAUAAACUUUCAGGCUCUGCACUCCAUCAAUUGGUGUAGUAUGUUCCCGAAAACAAGAUCUAGAAAUUCACAUACUUAAUGGGGUGCGAGAAGAAAUUUAUGGAGUGUAGAAAGAAACAGCCCAACGUGUAACUAAGCUUAUAUCGAGGGCCCAAAUAAAUUCGAAUGUGAAAGGGUUGAAUGUACCUUGCAUUUUAGGAAGGAAAGUGGUACGAGUGGAAGGCGAGGACGGCGUCUGCAUCAAUAUUCAGUAUUUAGCUGUUCAAAAGAUGAGAUUGAAGAGGUUAAAGUAACUACAAACAAGUGAGCACAAAACUUGACACCAGUUGAGACAUUGGAGUGGAAGCCACAAAGGUUGGUCCCUGGUGCGAACAAAACAGGUGGAGAAGUCGAGAAGAUGCAUCCAUCCUAACUACAAUUCUCCUUGUAUAUGAGGAAACAGAACCUAAACAGGCCCCUAAAAAUUGGGUUAGAUUGCUAUUGAUUAACAAAAAAGUUGGAAAGCAAAAUUCUUUCGGAGUACGAUUUGAGAAUGACUAGUCAGAAAAAUUCCUGUCCAUUUUAAGCUUGCUCUUCACUUCUUGUAUCUCCUUCAUUUGUCGCUGCAAGGCAAAGAAAAUAUGUGAAAGCAGCCACAGGAAUAGGCGUAUAAGAUAGUAUGCGAUGCAUUGGCGAUACGCAGGAAAUAAUUCUUCACAAUGCUGCACCUGAUAUAGUGCAUUCCAACAUGCAUUAAACUUAGCAUAAUGCAGUAACCAUUCAAUAGACAUCGGGUACUCUAUUGUAUUGGGCUGAGAGCAAUGAGAUGUUGAUACUGCAUUUCUCUGUAAAGGCAGGAAACACGCAAUUUAAAACUUCUUUUCUUGUAUAGGUAAAUGAAUGAAUUAUGUGAGUAA